This 120-nucleotide non-coding RNA is filed under the name human gut metagenome. Its description in RNAcentral is "FMN riboswitch (RFN element)". It matches the Rfam family "FMN riboswitch aptamer (RFN element)", at positions 8 to 131 of the family's 138-position model. From Rfam's summary of the family: The RFN element is a highly conserved domain that is found frequently in the 5'-untranslated regions of prokaryotic mRNAs that encode for flavin mononucleotide (FMN) biosynthesis and transport proteins. This element is a metabolite-dependent riboswitch that directly binds FMN in the absence of proteins. In Bacillus subtilis, the riboswitch most likely controls gene expression by causing premature transcription termination within the 5' untranslated region of the ribDEAHT operon and precluding access to the ribosome-binding site of ypaA mRNA. The record is from RNAcentral.
GUUUCGGGGCGGGGUGAAAUUCCCCACCGGCGGUGAAGGAAAGCAAUUUCCGCAGUCCGCGAGCCUUUUGGUUGAAUCGGUGAAAAUCCGAUACCGACGGUAUAGUCCGGAUGAAAGAAU